UACACACCGCCCGUCACACCACGAAAGCUGUUUAUACCAGAAAGUCGGUGAAGCUAACCGCAAGGAGGCAACCGCCCAAGGUAUGGAGUGGUGAUUGGGGUGG
Molecule: ribosomal RNA, 103 nt
Filed under: uncultured bacterium
Lineage: Bacteria
Description: partial 16S ribosomal RNA
Rfam family: Bacterial small subunit ribosomal RNA
Source: RNAcentral